AACGAACGCUGGCGGCGUGCCUAACACAUGCAAGUCGAACGGAACCUUCCGGCUUUGUGGCGGAGGGCUGGGUAAGACCGGGUAACCUGCCCUUGGGUUAGCUAUAACUCAGUGUAAGAUGACCUCAGACAGCUGGAUGUCUUCGCGCCAAAGAGUUCUCGCCGUUGGAUGGGCCCGUGUUGGAUUAGCUGGUUGGUGGGGGAAAGGCAUACCAAGGCGAGGUUGCAUAGCUGGUCUGGUAGGAUGCCCAGCCGCACUGGGACUGAGACACGGCCCAGACUGCUACGCAAGGGAGCAGUGGGGAAUAUUGGACGCUGGGGGAAGGCCUGAUCCAGCAAUGCCGGGUGAGUGAGGAAGGCCGUAGGGUUGUAAAGCUGUUUUACACGAGAUGAUAAUGACAGUAACGGGAGAAUAAGCUCCGGCUAACUCCGUG
Molecule: ribosomal RNA, 433 nt
Filed under: uncultured bacterium
Lineage: Bacteria
Description: partial 16S ribosomal RNA
Rfam family: Bacterial small subunit ribosomal RNA
Source: RNAcentral